UACGUAGGGUGCAAGCGUUGUCCGGAAUUACUGGGCGUAAAGGGCGCGUAGGCGGCCUGCUAAGUCGGACGUGAAAUCCCUCGGCUCAACCGAGGAACUGCGUCCGAUACUGGUGGGCUUGAAUCCGGGAGAGGGAUGUGGAAUUCCAGGUGUAGCGGUGAAAUGCGUAGAUAUCUGGAGGAACACCGGUGGCGAAGGCGGCAUCCUGGACCGGUAUUGACGCUGAGGCGCGAAAGCUAGGGGAGCAAACGGG
This 253-nucleotide ribosomal RNA is filed under the name uncultured bacterium. RNAcentral describes it as "partial 16S ribosomal RNA". It matches the Rfam family "Bacterial small subunit ribosomal RNA", at positions 524 to 776 of the family's 1533-position model. The record is from RNAcentral.